UUGCUUCCUGCUGCUCAGGACUCUAAAGUGAGCUUAGAUGGAAGAGCCACCCAGAUCUGUCUCCUGGAGGAGUAACAGAAAGUAAUAGAGUUGUCUUUUUACGUGCUCUGUGAGGGCCAAGCCAGGAGGGAUUAAUUUUCUUGUUCCUGCUACGUCCCCAAGGAAGGAGAAUCAGCGAGUUUCAGAUGGAUGAACCUUGAAAAUAAAAUGAGAUCAUUCUGGCAUCUCGGAAAAGUGGG
Molecule: long non-coding RNA, 239 nt
Filed under: Mus musculus (house mouse)
Lineage: Eukaryota; Metazoa; Chordata; Mammalia; Rodentia; Muridae
Description: predicted gene, 49422
Source: RNAcentral